GACGAACGCUGGCGGCGUGCUUAACACAUGCAAGUCGAACGCUGAAGCUUGGUGCUUGCACUGGGUGGAUGAGUGGCGAACGGGUGAGUAAUACGUGAGUAACCUGCCCUUGACUCUGGGAUAAGCCUGGGAAACUGGGUCCAAUACUGGAUACGACAUGUCACCGCAUGGUGGUGUGUGGAAAGGGUUUUACUGGUUUUGGAUGGGCUCACGGCCUAUCAGCUUGUUGGUGGGGUAAUGGCUCACCAAGGCGACGACGGGUAGCCGGCCUGAGAGGGUGACCGGCCACACUGGGACUGAGACACAGCCCAGACUCCUACGGGAGGCAGCAGUGGGGAAUAUUGCACAAUGGGCGGAAGCCUGAUGCAGCGACGCCGCGUGAGGGAUGACGGCCUUCGGGUUGUAAACCUCUUUCAGCACGGAAGAAGCGAAAGUGACGGUACGUGCAGAAGAAGCGCCGGCUAACUACGUG
RNAcentral lists this ribosomal RNA (472 nucleotides) under uncultured bacterium. RNAcentral's name for it is "partial 16S ribosomal RNA". It matches the Rfam family "Bacterial small subunit ribosomal RNA", at positions 28 to 507 of the family's 1533-position model. The record is from RNAcentral.